UACGUAGGGUGCGAGCGUUAAUCGGAAUUACUGGGCGUCAAGCGUGCGCAGGCGGUCUCGUAAGCUGGGUGUGCAAGCCCCGGGCUUACCCUGGGAAUGGCAUUCAGGACUGCGAGGCUCGAGUGUGGCAGAGGGAGGUGGAAUUCCACGUGUAGCAGUGAAAGGCGUAGAGAUGUGGAGGAACACCGAUGGCGAAGGCAGCCUCCGGGGCCAGCACUGACGCUCAUGCACGAAAGCGUGGGGAGCAAACAGG
This 253-nucleotide ribosomal RNA is filed under the name uncultured bacterium. Its description in RNAcentral is "partial 16S ribosomal RNA". It matches the Rfam family "Bacterial small subunit ribosomal RNA", at positions 524 to 776 of the family's 1533-position model. The record is from RNAcentral.